Molecule: long non-coding RNA, 1819 nt
Organism: Lethenteron reissneri (Far Eastern brook lamprey)
Lineage: Eukaryota; Metazoa; Chordata; Hyperoartia; Petromyzontiformes; Petromyzontidae
Source: RefSeq, a predicted model, not a curated record
GCACCACUGCGUCCCGUCCACCACCAACCAACCACUCACUGACUCCCACUCACCUGUCCACUGAGCGCGGCGCUCCCAGACAGAGCGCAGGACGUGUCCUCCCGGCUCCUGCCCUCCUCGUCCUGACCGCAGGUCGCCGUGGCGCUGGCACUGGCACGCUCGGCCACGUUGAAGUAGGGAGGCAGCAGGCUCGGCUCAUUGCCCGCGGCCCGGGCGGAAGGGAGAGCAGGUAGCAGCAGCAGCAGUAGCAUCGAGACCAGGUGAGCGAGCGGUGGAGGCGGGGACAGGUUGGGGUGUGUGGGAGAGGCGAGCGGAUGGUCUGGGGGCACACCCUGUGUCUGCCUUCCUUCUGGCUUGUGAAUUGAAGAUGACUCAAGUUGACUCAAUCUGUAACAUCACAACAAAUCAAUGUAAGUCCGUGACUGAUGCGCUCAAUGCAGUCCUGUAAACAGUCCGUAAGCAGUACGGUAUAACAAUCAUGCCCCGGUAUAAAUACCAGUCUAAAAAUGUGUCGUGCCUACUAUUGUGUUAUAUAACAAACACAUCAACUCAACUCGUACUCAAUAGCACAUCAUGCGCGAAAAAUACGGGCCACUGCCCGAACCGUGGCCUGUCGUGGACAUUUCCUCUUUAAAGCCACGGUGGUAUUGACAUUCCGAAUGCGUUGGGGUUGUUAAUAUGUUUUGUUAUUUGUCCUUGUGUGUGAAACCACUAACCAACGCAGCAAAGCCAGCAUCGCCGAAUAAAUCACAAACACACACAAAGUUAUAUGUAAUAAUAAAAAAACAUUGCGUUCCACUACUCGGUGUGUUCGCUAGACGGCGCUGUGAGCCCCAACACUGAAAACUAAAUCAACGGAUGGUCACUCCCCCGAAACGCCUGGUGUGGGUUUCGUGUUCAGGUUGGUGGGUCACUGGGAGAGUAGCCAGUACCAGUGGCUGGGUUGCCAGUCAGAGCCAGUCGGAGGGUGAGUACUGGGCAAUGGUUAGCUUAUUGGUCAGGGUUGAUGUGUGUGUGUGGCUGGUGUGGGUAAGGCUAUGGCUUGUACCACUGGCUGGGUUAGCUGGUCAGAGCCAGUGGGAGGGCGAGUACUGGGCAUUGGUUAGCUUAUUGGUCAGGGUUGAUGUGUGUGUGUGGCUGGUGUGGGUAAGGCUAUGGCUUGUACCACUGGCUGGGUUAGCUGGUCAGAGCCAGUGGGAGGGCGAGUACUGGGCAUUGGUUAGCUUAUUGGUUAGGGCAGAUGUGUGUGUGUGUAGCUGGUGUGGGUGAGGCUAUGGCUUGUACCAGUGGCUGGGUUAGCUGGUCAGAGCCAGUGGGAGGGCGAGUACUUGGCAUUGGUUAGCUUAUUGGUUAGGGUUAAUGUGUGUGUGUGUGGCUGGUGUGGGUAAGGCUAUGGCUUGUACCAGUGGCUGGGUUGGCUAGUCAGAGCCAGUGGAAGGGCGAGUACUGGGCAAUGGUUAGCUUAUUGGUUAGGGCUGAUGUGUGUUGCUGGUGUGGGUAAGGCUAUGGCUCGUACAGGGGUCUUUCAAGACUGCAGUGCGGCUCUUGAAAUUCGAAAAAAAUGGCUCUUCGUGUUAUUUUGGUUUCCGACCCCUGUGCUGGUACCAUUGGCUGGUUUGCCGGCUCGAGCCAGUGGAAGAGCUCCUAAGUCAUUGUUUGGCGAGCUAGUUAACGUGUUGGGGUGGCUGAGGGUAGGUUUAGUUCUGGUUGGCUAUGUAGUUGAUGGUUGGUUAGGGGCCGUCCAUAAAUGACGUCACGCGAUUUUUGACGAUUUUUGACCGCCCCCCUUCCUUCGUCACACGGCGUCACAAAAAGUCAG